This 3094-nucleotide ribosomal RNA is filed under the name Drosophila melanogaster (fruit fly). RNAcentral describes it as "eukaryotic LSU rRNA". The stretch from base 573 to 3094 matches the Rfam family "Eukaryotic large subunit ribosomal RNA", at positions 1 to 2155 of the family's 3401-position model. The record is from RNAcentral. Lineage: Eukaryota; Metazoa; Arthropoda; Insecta; Diptera; Drosophilidae.
ACUCUAAGCGGUGGAUCACUCGGCUCAUGGGUCGAUGAAGAACGCAGCAAACUGUGCGUCAUCGUGUGAACUGCAGGACACAUGAACAUCGACAUUUUGAACGCAUAUCGCAGUCCAUGCUGUUAUGUACUUUAAUUAAUUUUAUAGUGCUGCUUGGACUACAUAUGGUUGAGGGUUGUAAGACUAUGCUAAUUAAGUUGCUUAUAAAUUUUUAUAAGCAUAUGGUAUAUUAUUGGAUAAAUAUAAUAAUUUUUAUUCAUAAUAUUAAAAAAUAAAUGAAAAACAUUAUCUCACAUUUGAAUGUGAAAAACGAAGAGAAAUAUUUUCUUUUUCAAUCAAAUAAUACUGAGAAAUGUCUAGCAUAAAAAAUUGAAAUAUUUUUCAUCUAGAAUUGUCUCUUAUUAAUGAUUCGGAAAUAGAAAAAUCUUGGUUAUGUUAUUAUUCUUCGUUGGUUCGUUAAAAAUGGAUAAAUAAAAACUUUGCAUACAAGAAUUAAUAAAAAUGUUAUAACGAAUUUAAUUAAAUGUUUUAUCAUUAUAUAUAAAGAAUUUAUGGCAAGAUAAAGUUAUAUACAACCUCAACUCAUAUGGGACUACCCCCUGAAUUUAAGCAUAUUAAUUAGGGGAGGAAAAGAAACUAACAAGGAUUUUCUUAGUAGCGGCGAGCGAAAAGAAAACAGUUCAGCACUAAGUCACUUUGUCUAUAUGGCAAAUGUGAGAUGCAGUGUAUGGAGCGUCAAUAUUCUAGUAUGAGAAAUUAACGAUUUAAGUCCUUCUUAAAUGAGGCCAUUUACCCAUAGAGGGUGCCAGGCCCGUAUAACGUUAAUGAUUACUAGAUGAUGUUUCCAAAGAGUCGUGUUGCUUGAUAGUGCAGCACUAAGUGGGUGGUAAACUCCAUCUAAAACUAAAUAUAACCAUGAGACCGAUAGUAAACAAGUACCGUGAGGGAAAGUUGAAAAGAACUCUGAAUAGAGAGUUAAACAGUACGUGAAACUGCUUAGAGGUUAAGCCCGAUGAACCUGAAUAUCCGUUAUGGAAAAUUCAUCAUUAAAAUUGUAAUAUUUAAAUAAUAUUAUGAGAAUAGUGUGCAUUUUUUCCAUAUAAGGACAUUGUAAUCUAUUAGCAUAUACCAAAUUUAUCAUAAAAUAUAACUUAUAGUUUAUUCCAAUUAAAUUGCUUGCAUUUUAACACAGAAUAAAUGUUAUUAAUUUGAUAAAGUGCUGAUAGAUUUAUAUGAUUACAGUGCGUUAAUUUUUCGGAAUUAUAUAAUGGCAUAAUUAUCAUUGAUUUUUGUGUUUAUUAUAUGCACUUGUAUGAUUAACAAUGCGAAAGAUUCAGGAUACCUUCGGGACCCGUCUUGAAACACGGACCAAGGAGUCUAACAUAUGUGCAAGUUAUUGGGAUAUAAACCUAAUAGCGUAAUUAACUUGACUAAUAAUGGGAUUAGUUUUUUUAGCUAUUUAUAGCUAAUUAACACAAUCCCGGGGCGUUCUAUAUAGUUAUGUAUAAUGUAUAUUUAUAUUAUUUAUGCCUCUAACUGGAACGUACCUUGAGCAUAUAUGCUGUGACCCGAAAGAUGGUGAACUAUACUUGAUCAGGUUGAAGUCAGGGGAAACCCUGAUGGAAGACCGAAACAGUUCUGACGUGCAAAUCGAUUGUCAGAAUUGAGUAUAGGGGCGAAAGACCAAUCGAACCAUCUAGUAGCUGGUUCCUUCCGAAGUUUCCCUCAGGAUAGCUGGUGCAUUUUAAUAUUAUAUAAAAUAAUCUUAUCUGGUAAAGCGAAUGAUUAGAGGCCUUAGGGUCGAAACGAUCUUAACCUAUUCUCAAACUUUAAAUGGGUAAGAACCUUAACUUUCUUGAUAUGAAGUUCAAGGUUAUGAUAUAAUGUGCCCAGUGGGCCACUUUUGGUAAGCAGAACUGGCGCUGUGGGAUGAACCAAACGUAAUGUUACGGUGCCCAAAUUAACAACUCAUGCAGAUACCAUGAAAGGCGUUGGUUGCUUAAAACAGCAGGACGGUGAUCAUGGAAGUCGAAAUCCGCUAAGGAGUGUGUAACAACUCACCUGCCGAAGCAACUAGCCCUUAAAAUGGAUGGCGCUUAAGUUGUAUACCUAUACAUUACCGCUAAAGUAGAUGAUUUAUAUUACUUGUGAUAUAAAUUUUGAAACUUUAGUGAGUAGGAAGGUACAAUGGUAUGCGUAGAAGUGUUUGGCGUAAGCCUGCAUGGAGCUGCCAUUGGUACAGAUCUUGGUGGUAGUAGCAAAUAAUCGAAUGAGACCUUGGAGGACUGAAGUGGAGAAGGGUUUCGUGUGAACAGUGGUUGAUCACGAGUUAGUCGGUCCUAAGUUCAAGGCGAAAGCCGAAAAUUUUCAAGUAAAACAAAAAUGCCUAACUAUAUAAACAAAGCGAAUUAUAAUACACUUGAAUAAUUUUGAACGAAAGGGAAUACGGUUCCAAUUCCGUAACCUGUUGAGUAUCCGUUUGUUAUUAAAUAUGGGCCUCGUGCUCAUCCUGGCAACAGGAACGACCAUAAAGAAGCCGUCGAGAGAUAUCGGAAGAGUUUUCUUUUCUGUUUUAUAGCCGUACUACCAUGGAAGUCUUUCGCAGAGAGAUAUGGUAGAUGGGCUAGAAGAGCAUGACAUAUACUGUUGUGUCGAUAUUUUCUCCUCGGACCUUGAAAAUUUAUGGUGGGGACACGCAAACUUCUCAACAGGCCGUACCAAUAUCCGCAGCUGGUCUCCAAGGUGAAGAGUCUCUAGUCGAUAGAAUAAUGUAGGUAAGGGAAGUCGGCAAAUUAGAUCCGUAACUUCGGGAUAAGGAUUGGCUCUGAAGAUUGAGAUAGUCGGGCUUGAUUGGGAAACAAUAACAUGGUUUAUGUGCUCGUUCUGGGUAAAUAGAGUUUCUAGCAUUUAUGUUAGUUACUUGUUCCCCGGAUAGUUUAGUUACGUAGCCAAUUGUGGAACUUUCUUGCUAAAAUUUUUAAGAAUACUAUUUGGGUUAAACCAAUUAGUUCUUAUUAAUUAUAACGAUUAUCAAUUAACAAUCAAUUCAGAACUGGCACGGACUUGGGGAAUCCGACUGUCUAAUUAAAACAAA